This 484-nucleotide ribosomal RNA is filed under the name uncultured bacterium. RNAcentral's name for it is "partial 16S ribosomal RNA". It matches the Rfam family "Bacterial small subunit ribosomal RNA", at positions 30 to 507 of the family's 1533-position model. The record is from RNAcentral.
AUUGAACGCUGGCGGCAGGCCUAACACAUGCAAGUCGAGCGGAUGAAGGGAGCUUGCUCCUGGAUUCAGCGGCGGACGGGUGAGUAAUGCCUAGGAAUCUGCCUGGUAGUGGGGGAUAACGUCCGGAAACGGGCGCUAAUACCGCACACGUCCUGAGGGAGAAAGGGGGGGAUCUUCGGACCUCACGCUAUCAGAUGAGCCUAGGUCGGAUUAGCUAGUUGGUGGGGUAAAGGCCUACCAAGGCGACGAUCCGUAACUGGUCUGAGAGGAUGAUCAGUCACACUGGAACUGAGACACGGUCCAGACUCCUACGGGAGGCAGCAGUGGGGAAUAUUGGACAAUGGGCGAAAGCCUGAUCCAGCCAUGCCGCGUGUGUGAAGAAGGUCUUCGGAUUGUAAAGCACUUUAAGUUGGGAGGAAGGGCAGUAAGUUAAUACCUUGCUGUUUUGACGUUACCAACAGAAUAAGCACCGGCUAACUUCGUG